AGCGAACGUUAGCGGCAGGCUUAACACAUGCAAGUCGAGCGAGAAAGGGGCUUCGGCCCCCGGUAAGCGGCGGACGGGUGCGUAACACGUGGAUAAUCUGCCCUUUGGCGGGGGACGAACCAUUCGAAAGGAUGGCUAAUACCGCAUAAGUCGGCGAGGUCUUUGACUUCGCCGGGAAAGGGGGCGGCCCGCAAGGGGCUCCCACCAGAGGAUGAGUCCGCGGCCCAUCAGCUAGUUGGCGGGGUAAUGGCCCACCAAGGCAAAGACGGGUAGCUGGUCUGAGAGGAUGAUCAGCCACACUGGGACUGAGACACGGCCCAGACUCCUACGGGAGGCAGCAGUGGGGAAUAUUGGACAAUGGGCGCAAGCCUGAUCCAGCCAUGCCGCGUGAGUGAUGAAGGCCUCGGUC
Molecule: ribosomal RNA, 409 nt
Filed under: uncultured bacterium
Lineage: Bacteria
Description: bacterial SSU rRNA
Rfam family: Bacterial small subunit ribosomal RNA
Source: RNAcentral